This 497-nucleotide ribosomal RNA is filed under the name uncultured bacterium. RNAcentral describes it as "partial 16S ribosomal RNA". It matches the Rfam family "Bacterial small subunit ribosomal RNA", at positions 28 to 507 of the family's 1533-position model. The record is from RNAcentral.
GAUGAACGCUGGCGGCGUGCCUAAUACAUGCAAGUCGAGCGAACAGACGAGGAGCUUGCUCCUCUGACGUUAGCGGCGGACGGGUGAGUAACACGUGGAUAACCUACCUAUAAGACUGGGAUAACUUCGGGAAACCGGAGCUAAUACCGGAUAAUAUAUUGAACCGCAUGGUUCAAUAGUGAAAGACGGUUUUGCUGUCACUUAUAGAUGGAUCCGCGCCGCAUUAGCUAGUUGGUAAGGUAACGGCCUACCAAGGCAACGAUGCGUAGCCGACCUGAGAGGGUGAUCGGCCACACGGGAACUGAGACACGGUCCAGACGCCUACGGGAGGCAGCAGUAGGGAAUCUUCCGCAAUGGGCGAAAGCCUGACGGAGCAACGCCGCGUGAGUGAUGAAGGUCUUCGGAUCGUAAAACUCUGUUAUUAGGGAAGAACAAAUGUGUAAGUAACUAUGCACGUCUUGACGGUACCUAAUCAGAAAGCCACGGCUAACUACGUG